RNAcentral lists this small RNA (1087 nucleotides) under Pan troglodytes (chimpanzee). Its description in RNAcentral is "retained intron". The record is from RNAcentral. Lineage: Eukaryota; Metazoa; Chordata; Mammalia; Primates; Hominidae.
GAAGCUCCGCCACCCGCCGCCAUGAGUAGCUUUGGAGCUGGCAAAACCAAAGAAGUUAUCUUCAGUGUGGAGGAUGGCUCCGUGAAAAUGUUCCUGAGGGGCCGCCCUGUGCCCAUGAUGAUCCCAGACGAGCUGGCACCCACCUACAGCCUGGACACACGCUCGGAGCUGCCUUCUUGCCGGCUCAAGCUGGACUGGGUCUAUGGCUACCGUGGCCGAGACUGCCGGGCCAACCUUUAUUUGCUGCCCACCGGGGAGAUAGUGUACUUUGUGGCCUCCGUAGCCGUGCUAUACAGCGUGGAGGAGCAGAGGCAGCGACACUACCUGGGACACAACGAUGACAUCAAAUGCUUGGCCAUCCACCCAGAUAUGGUCACCAUCGCCACGGGACAGGUGGCGGGCACCACUAAGGAAGGGAAGCCGCUGCCGCCCCACGUGCGCAUCUGGGACUCAGUUUCCCUCUCCACCUUACACGUGCUGGGCUUGGGGGUGUUUGACAGAGCCGUGUGCUGUGUGGGCUUCUCCAAAUCUAAUGGAGGCAACCUGCUGUGUGCAGUGGAUGAAUCCAAUGAUCACAUGCUCUCGGUGUGGGACUGGGCCAAGGAGACCAAGGUGGUGGAUGUCAAGUGCUCCAAUGAGGCUGUAUUGGUGGCCACCUUCCACCCCACGGACCCCACUGUGCUUAUCACCUGCGGGAAAUCUCACAUCUACUUCUGGACCUUGGAGGGGGGCAGCUUGAGCAAGCGGCAAGGCCUCUUUGAGGUGGGAACCGUAUCACACAGGCGGUGCUGGGCGCCCACGACGGCGGCGUGUUUGGGCUCUGCGCCCUGCGGGACGGGACGCUGGUGUCUGGAGGGGGCCGUGAUCGGCGGGUGGUCCUCUGGGGUUCUGACUACAGCAAGCUGCAGGAAGUGGAGGUCCCUGAGGACUUUGGCCCCGUGCGCACCGUGGCAGAGGGCCACGGAGACACACUGUACGUGGGGACCACCCGCAAUUCCAUUCUGCAGGGCUCCGUGCACACAGGCUUCUCACUGCUGGUCCAGGUGCGCCUCUCUCCUCUGCACCCCUCCCCUCUUCCCAGCUCUUU